AUGAAUGAGGAAAGAGACCAAAUGAGUCUUAGAAGCAAGGAUUUAUUCACACAUUCUCAGAAACACAAAAAACUACAAGUCCGGAAGACUAGAACCGGAAAUAACGCUAAUAGAGCGCGACAUGAAAAACUACCGUUAAGAGAGUUCCCCUGCCAGACUAACUGGUAACAAAUAAUCUACGCUGAAAGCUAACAGCGAAUACAACAACUCAAACUCCAUAAAAAUCCAAAGGCUAAUUAAGCAAACUAAGGUAUUACCAUACUCUGGCAUAAGAACAAUGACCUACAGCAACACAAACUCACUAAUCUGGAAGGCUCGUGCCAAGGAACAGCGUGAAUGCACAGGGAAAGGGAGGAGAGGGCUGGUGUGCAGCUGGUUAGGGGAGUUUGACACAGAGAGGGGCUCUGGGUGGCAGACAGGUGCACUGGAGGCUGCGGCCACAGGCACGUCGUGAUGUGGCGUCUGAAGAUGGAGGAGACUGACCAGCCUCACCUUGACAACUGGAGAGUACACUAAUGCCACGCUGACUAUUACGCCACCUGACAGCACACAGUCAGGCAUCGAUGCCACUCUGACUAUUGAAGCCAAGUCAACCGAAGGUGCUGACUCCAAUUAUGCCGUUCUGAGACUGUCUGUUGUCACCAAGAUUACAGAUUUUACUCCACCAUUGUGUAACUUAGUUACAGUGCUGCCUGAUGACUGCCCUGCUGAUCUGUCCCAGUGCAAACCUUUCCAUUGGCAGCUCUCAGCUAAUCUCACAGAUGGAAAUGGAACCGGGAUUGAGAGCAUUACCCUGCGUCAGGGUGAAGGAACCUUAUCAUACACCCCACUGAGCGCUCCUAUCAUCCAGGCAGACUACAACUCUUCCUGCUGCUCGCAGGUUGUUGAGUUCGUAGCUGUCGAUAAAGUUGGCAACGUGGGCAGGUGCUAUUAUGAAAUUGAUCAUUCAGCUGGUCCUCCUGCUCUGACGUUGUCGCUGCCGCUGUGGCUGUGCCUGCUGGUAUCUGUCUUCAUAGUGAGGCCUUAAAGAGCUUUUGGUUGGAUUGUUCUGUAUCUUAUGUCUGUGCUCUGCAACUACCAGGGCCAGAGUGAGACUCAUUUUCAGCCCUGGAGUUUCAUUAGACCGGCCCACUUUAGGUCACGAUCUAUUAUUAUUAAAAUCAUGUAAUUAUAACCUUACACGUUAAGUCUACAAUAGCACACUGUUCUGUAAAGCCUUGUAUUUUUCUAAAAUAUUUCCAAUUCAGUGCAAGUAAGGGCUGCUUCACAAUAUGGAUUUGUGUCAACGGUAAAUGGUCUGUAUUUAUAUAGCCCAAAGCGCUUUAUAUUAUACAUCACAUUCACCCAUUCACGGCAGAAGCUGCCAUGCUAUGCGCUGACCACGACCCAUGAGGAGCAGUUAGGGGUUCAGUGUCUUGCUCAGGAACACCUCAACAUGAGCCCUCUAGGCCAGGGAUCGAACCGGUAACCCUCUGGUUACAAGACGGCCACGCUACCCACUGAGCCAUGCCGCCUCAUCUCCAAUAUUACUCUUCACAACAAUAUCAGAAUCUAUAUUUUGUUCAAACAAGUGUUCACAGAUAUCUAAACCUUGAAAAUGAAAUACAAGAAUAAAUAAAAAAAUAUGUAUAAAAUAAAAAGUGUUGCACGUUCUAAUAACACUAUUAUCUCUAUUUCCUCUGCAAGGUAACAGAUCCAUCACUGAUUUCACAAAUAUGAGAAUAUGAGUUAAAGGUCAAAUCUCCAACACUAUUCUUUACAACAUCAGAAUGUAUGUAUGUACAUCCUGUGACUUAGGGUGAGCAAAGUAAUCAAAACUAUCAACCGACUCAUCUUCAUCUGUCUCCUUCCUAACUUGUGGUUCAGGUUUCUGCUGCUGAGCUGCUGCCUCUGUAAUCAGUCCCUGAAGAGACUCUGCUCUCCCUCUUAUACUUCCUCUAGUUUCCCUAGACUCGCCUGCACCCCUAUCACAAUUUAAAAAAAAAAAAAAAAAAUCUCUACACACAUUUUGACCUAACCAAUUAAGAUAUUUUCAAUGGCAAAAUAUGCAGGCUUAUUUUAUAUUACUUUCUUUCUAUUCCCUUUCAGUUGUGGGCUUUGUGUAUUUUCUAUCUUACUUUUAAUGAUUAAAAAACAAAAUGGGUCACUGCUAUCGUUUGGACGUAGAAAGUGGUUAUACUGGAACUAAUGGUUGCUAGUUCACUCUGUUACAACAGCAAUCCCCUCAUCACUGCUGGCUCCUGGCUCUGCUCCUGACACUAAAUCACUUUUAAAAAUGCUCAUAAUUCUCAGCACAAAUCUCCUCUUUUUACAAAGCCUUCUGAUCAGUUCAGAUCAGUUUCAUUAAUAGAUAAUAGAUGCUUUAUUUGUCAUUGCACACUUUCAUAUACAACGAAAUUUCAUUUGAGCUGCCCUGCCAAUGACAGCUCCGGCUGCUGCGCGGCACCUUUCUUGAGGAAAAAAAAGAAAAAGACAUGUUGGGAUCUGGGUAGGGAUAGUAGAGGGUAAAAGAAAAAAACAGCUCGUUGUACCAAAUGAAACCUCCAAUGUUGGGAAAUUCAAUUUGAGAAGGAACCUAAAAAAAAACAAACCCGCAAACAGGCAAAGCAUGACAUAAGACAAGGAUAGUUGGGAUAAGGAUGUGGGGAGGUGGAGGGAGGAGCACUGCACAGUUAGCCGGUUCCUGUGCAGGUGCACGGAUUCCUGGCUCCUGUGUAUGGUGAGGAAAGCUUGUGGAGGUGGGAGGGAGGGGGAUAUGGACAUGUGUGUGUGAAUGUUUAGCUCAGUCCUCAG
Amphiprion ocellaris (clown anemonefish) is the source of this 2793-nucleotide long non-coding RNA. Lineage: Eukaryota; Metazoa; Chordata; Actinopteri; Pomacentridae. The record is from Ensembl.